RNAcentral lists this ribosomal RNA (407 nucleotides) under uncultured bacterium. Its description in RNAcentral is "partial 16S ribosomal RNA". It matches the Rfam family "Bacterial small subunit ribosomal RNA", at positions 30 to 526 of the family's 1533-position model. The record is from RNAcentral.
AUUGAACGCUGGCGGCAGGCCUAACACAUGCAAGUCGAGCGGAGCGGCGGACGGGUGAGUAAUGCCUAGGAAUCUGCCUGGUAGUGGGGGAUAACGUCCGGAAACGGGCGCUAAUACCGCAUACUAUCAGAUGAGCCUAGGUCGGAUUAGCUAUUUGGUGGGGUAAAGGCCUACAAAGGCGACGAUCCGUAACUGGUCUGCUAGGAUGAUCAGUCACACUGCGAAUGAGACACGGUCAAGACGCCGACGGGAGGCAGAAGUGGGGAAUAUUGGCACAUGGGCGAAAGCCUGAUCCAGCGAUGCCGCGGUGGUGAAGAAGGUCUUCGGAUUGUAAAGCACUUUAAGUUGGGAGGAGGUACAAAAAGAAUAAGCACCGGCUAACUUCGUGCCAGCAGCCGCGGUAAUAG